GGAAGAGUUGUUACCUAAAGCAGUGUCUGCAAACAAAUCAUCCUCCAUAAGCGGUAAUUCCACCAAAAGGGAUCAUGAGAGAAGACACAUACCAUCUGCUUCUUCAGCAUUGGUUGUUGGUUGUGUGCCUUCUCUCAUAAACCCUUUUGGUGNCGGCUAAACCAAUCCUGAACUUCAUGGGUGUACAUUCUGAUUCUCCAAUGCUAAUACCAGCACAACAAUACUUGAUAUUGAGAUCACUAGGUGCUCCUGCUGUUCUUCUUUCUUUAGCAAUGCAAGGGGUUUUUCGAGGAAUCAAGGAUACAAAAACUCCUUUGUAUGCUACUGUUGUGGGAGAUGUAGCGAAUAUCAUCUUGGACCCAAUAUUUAUAUUCAUAUUCCGGCUGGAUGUCAGGGG
This 397-nucleotide unclassified non-coding RNA is filed under the name Hevea brasiliensis (rubber tree). Lineage: Eukaryota; Viridiplantae; Streptophyta; Magnoliopsida; Malpighiales; Euphorbiaceae. The record is from RNAcentral.